This 239-nucleotide ribosomal RNA is filed under the name uncultured microorganism. Its description in RNAcentral is "partial 16S ribosomal RNA". It matches the Rfam family "Bacterial small subunit ribosomal RNA", at positions 9 to 241 of the family's 1533-position model. The record is from RNAcentral.
GAGUUUGAUCAUGGCUCAGAUUGAACGCUGGCGGCAUGCCUAACACAUGCAAGUCGAACGGCAGCACUGGGAGCUUGCUCCCUGGUGGCGAGUGGCGGACGGGUGAGUAACGCGUAGGAAUCUGCCUCAUAGCGGGGGACGAACUCGGGAAACGUACGAGCUAAUACCGCAUACUACUCGAGAGAGGAAAGCAGGGGACCGUUCGGCCGUUCGCACUAUGAGAUGAGCCUGCGUUGGUA